UACGGAGGGGGCUAGCGUUGUUCGGAAUUACUGGGCGUAAAGAGCGUGUAGGCGGCCAAGCAGGUCCGUUGUGAAAACUGGAGGCUUAACCUCCAGACGUCGACGGAAACCGCGUGGCUAGAGUCCGGAAGAGGAGAGUGGAAUUCCUGGUGUAGCGGUGAAAUGCGCAGAUAUCGGGAAGAACACCCGUGGCGAAGGCGGCUCUCUGGAACGCAACUGACGCUGAGACGCGAAAGCGUGGGGAGCAAACAGG
RNAcentral lists this ribosomal RNA (253 nucleotides) under uncultured bacterium. RNAcentral's name for it is "partial 16S ribosomal RNA". It matches the Rfam family "Bacterial small subunit ribosomal RNA", at positions 524 to 776 of the family's 1533-position model. The record is from RNAcentral.